RNAcentral lists this ribosomal RNA (301 nucleotides) under uncultured bacterium. Its description in RNAcentral is "partial 16S ribosomal RNA". It matches the Rfam family "Bacterial small subunit ribosomal RNA", at positions 509 to 809 of the family's 1533-position model. The record is from RNAcentral.
CAGCCGCCACGGGAAUACGUAGGGUGCAAGCGUUAAUCGGAAUUACUGGGCGUAAAGCGUGCGCAGGCGGUUUGUUAAGACAGAUGUGAAAUCCCCGGGCUCAACCUGGGAACUGCAUUUGUGACUGGCAAGCUAGAGUCUGGCAGAGGGGGGUGGAAUUCCGCGUGUAGCAGUGAAAUGCGUAGAUAUGCGGAGGAACACCGAUGGCGAAGGCAGCCCCCUGGGCCAACACUGACGCUCAUGCACGAAAGCGUGGGGAGCAAACAGGAUUAGAUACCCCAGUAGUCCCUGUCUCUUAUAU